This is a long non-coding RNA of Sander lucioperca (pikeperch), 110 nucleotides long. RefSeq lists it as uncharacterized. The transcript is spliced from 3 exons. Lineage: Eukaryota; Metazoa; Chordata; Actinopteri; Perciformes; Percidae. The record is from RefSeq and is a predicted model, not a curated record.
UCUUGGAAUGUAUACAACCUGCUGCGGGGAUAUCAGAGCGGUUCUGAGUCUUAAAAUAUCGGGGGUUGUGGAUUUAUAAUCUAUCAACAGGUAGCCAAAGAUGUAACUAG